CCAGACUCCUACGGGAGGCAGCAGUGGGGAAUAUUGGACAAUGGACCAAGAGUCUGAUCCAGCAAUUCUGUGUGCACGAUGAAGUUUUUCGGAAUGUAAAGUGCUUUCAGUUGGGAAGAAAAAAAUGACGGUACCAACAGAAGAAGUGACGGCUAAAUACGUGCCAGCAGCCGCGGUAAUACGUAUGUCACAAGCGUUAUCCGGAUUUAUUGGGCGUAAAGCGCGUCUAGGUGGUUAUGUAAGUCUGAUGUGAAAAUGCAGGGCUCAACUCUGUAUUGCGUUGGAAACUGUAUAACUAGAGUACUGGAGAGGUAAGCGGAACUACAAGUGUAGAGGUGAAAUUCGUAGAUAUUUGUAGGAAUGCCGAUGGGGAAGCCAGCUUACUGGACAGAUACUGACGCUGAAGCGCGAAAGCGUGGGUAGCAAACAGGAUUAGAUACCCUGGUAGUCCACGCCGUAAACGAUGAUUACUAGGUGUUGGGGGUCGAACCUCAGCGCCCAAGCAAACGCGAUAAGUAAUCCGCCUGGGGAGUACGUACGCAAGUAUGAAACUCAAAGGAAUUGACGGGGGCCCGCACAAG
RNAcentral lists this ribosomal RNA (581 nucleotides) under uncultured bacterium. Its description in RNAcentral is "bacterial SSU rRNA". It matches the Rfam family "Bacterial small subunit ribosomal RNA", at positions 331 to 929 of the family's 1533-position model. The record is from RNAcentral.